Molecule: ribosomal RNA, 639 nt
Filed under: Triticum aestivum (bread wheat)
Lineage: Eukaryota; Viridiplantae; Streptophyta; Magnoliopsida; Poales; Poaceae
Description: partial small subunit ribosomal RNA
Source: RNAcentral
AUGGAGCCGGAUCUGGAAGCAGGGGCAUCACCCCAUGCCCCCACCGUUUCGGCGAAGUUCGUAGUCCUCCGCCUCGUCGGCCUCCUCGGCCUCGUCAUGCUGACAUGCGUGUUACUAGCCGCGUUCAUGGACUUGCUGCAGGCUAUCCCCAAAAGCGACAGAUAUCAGAUCCUACGUGUCCCCACUUUCUCGGUCGAUCUCUCCGGCUUCGACGGGCUCGACGGCCCGACGCUGGCGCCGAGCCUCUCACCAGCGUUCAACCUCACGCUCCACGGCGUCAGCAACCACAGCUCGGGGCCGUCGUCGUGGGUCUGCCAGGAGCGCGGGACGGUGGCGGUCUCGUACGCGGGGGCGGUGCUCGCCUGGGGCCGCGUGCCCGGGUUCUGUUUUGGCGAGCACGCCCACGAGCGCGCGGGGAUGGUCGCGCUCGGCGCCGGGGUUGGGCUGUCCGACGAGCUGCGCGACCGCAUGGCCUCGGAGAGGCGGUCGCGGUCCGCGGAGGUGGACGUGGACAUCGUGCUGGGCUGGAUCGCGGAGGAGUCCCACUACCUGAAGAGGUUGCUGUCGUGCCGGGUGAAGCUGGAUGAGCCGUUGCCGCGACCAUAUCCCUGCAAAGUCCUUGUAUCGUAUCCCUGGUGA